AUGCUUACCUGGUGUGGGAGAUACCAUGAUCAUGAAGGUGGUUCUUCCAGGUUAAGACUCACCCAUUGCACUCGGGUGUGUUGACCCCUGCGAUUUCCCCAAAUGUAGGAAACUUGACUGUAUAAUUUGUGGUAGUGGGGACUGCAUUUGCAUUAUCCCCU
Phyllostomus discolor (pale spear-nosed bat) is the source of this 161-nucleotide small nuclear RNA. RefSeq annotates it as U1 spliceosomal RNA. The transcript has a single exon. The record is from RefSeq and is a predicted model, not a curated record. NCBI's taxonomy places the organism in Eukaryota, Metazoa, Chordata, Mammalia, Chiroptera, Phyllostomidae.